This 607-nucleotide ribosomal RNA is filed under the name uncultured cyanobacterium. Its description in RNAcentral is "bacterial SSU rRNA". It matches the Rfam family "Bacterial small subunit ribosomal RNA", at positions 81 to 718 of the family's 1533-position model. The record is from RNAcentral. Lineage: Bacteria; Bacillati; Cyanobacteriota.
AGUCUUCGGACUGAGUGGCGGACGGGUGAGUAACGCGUGAGAAUCUGCCUAGAGGUCGGGGACAACCAUUGGAAACGAUGGCUAAUACCGGAUAUGCCUUACGGGGUGAAAGAUUAAUUGCCUUUAGAAGAGCUCGCGUCUGAUUAGCUAGUUGGUGAGGUAAGAGCUCACCAAGGCAGCGAUCAGUAGCUGGUCUGAGAGGAUGACCAGCCACACUGGGACUGAGACACGGCCCAGACUCCUACGGGAGGCAGCAGUGGGGAAUUUUCCGCAAUGGGCGAAAGCCUGACGGAGCAAGACCGCGUGAGGGAGGAAGGCUCUUGGGUUGUAAACCUCUUUUGUCAGGGAAGAACAAAAUGACGGUACCUGGCGAAUCAGCAUCGGCUAACUCCGUGCCAGCAGCCGCGGUAAUACGGAGGAUGCAAGCGUUAUCCGGAAUUAUUGGGCGUAAAGCGUCCGCAGGUGGCUGAUCAAGUCUGCGGUCAAAGACCGGGGCUUAACCCUGGAAAGGCCGUGGAAACUGAUAGAGCUAGAGUACCGUAGGGGUAGAGGGAAUUCCCGGUGUAGCGGUGAAAUGCGUAGAGAUCGGGAAGAACAUCGGUGGCGA